UAGUUCGUGGAGUGAUCUGUCUGCUUAAUUGCGUUUCAAAAUUUAACUUGAGGACCGGGUUUUGGUUUGGCUAGUGGUUCUACGAUGACUGUGAACUGUCAUGUCUUCGGAUGUGCGACUAUUGGUCUAGGAUCACAUGACUUGCCCCUGGGACUCUUUUGAACGCAACGGACGUGAUUGCAACCCCUUGUUGAGAUUAGAGAUAGUCUCGAUAUUCACUGGACAAACUGGCUGCUUUAUGCAGUCUUGUUGAAUGGUGGAUAAACUCGGGGGACUGCUGACUAUAACCAUUUCUCAAAACAGAGGAAGGUUGCGGCAAUAACAGGUCUGUGAUGCCCUCAGAUGUCCCGGGCUGCACACGUGCUACAAUGAGUGGCGCAAUGUGCUAAUGUUUAAGGGAUAAGAGUGUGGUCAGUAGAACGUCGGGAUUUCCCCUGACGUCUCCCCCGCACGAUUAUCAGCCUUCCCUUAACAGGGCGGGCAACCUUUUCAAAAUACUGGUUUGAUGUUAAAGUAUUGAGUCGUUUUUUUUGGAUGGUGGU
This 542-nucleotide ribosomal RNA is filed under the name Globigerinoides ruber albus. RNAcentral's name for it is "SSU rRNA". It matches the Rfam family "Eukaryotic small subunit ribosomal RNA", at positions 1295 to 1605 of the family's 1831-position model. Lineage: Eukaryota; Foraminifera; Rotaliida; Globigerinidae. The record is from RNAcentral.